Molecule: ribosomal RNA, 441 nt
Filed under: uncultured bacterium
Lineage: Bacteria
Description: partial 16S ribosomal RNA
Rfam family: Bacterial small subunit ribosomal RNA
Source: RNAcentral
CCUACGGGAGGCAGCAGUGGGGAAUAUUGCACAAUGGGCGAAAGCCUGAUGCAGCAACGCCGCGUGCAGGAAAACGGUUUUCGGAUUGUAAACUUCUGUUCUUAGUGAAGAAUAAUGACGGUAACUAAGGAGCAAGCCACGGCUAACUACUUGCCAGCAGCCGCGGUAAUACGUAGGUGGCAAGCGUUGUCCGGGAUUACGGGGUGUAACGGGAGCGUAGGCGGGAAGCCAAGUCAGCUGUGAAAACUACGGGCUUAACCUGUAGACUGCAGUUGAAACUGGCUUUCUUGAGUGAAGUAGAGGUUGGCGGAAUUCCGAGUGUAGCGGUGAAAUGCGUAGAUAUUCGGAGGAACACCGGUGGCGAAGGCGGCCAACUGGGCUUUAACUGACGUUGAGGCUCGAAAGUGUGGGGAGCAAACAGGAUUAGAUACCCGUGUAGUC